Glycine soja is the source of this 1382-nucleotide long non-coding RNA. RefSeq lists it as uncharacterized. The record is from RefSeq and is a predicted model, not a curated record. The transcript has 9 exons. Lineage: Eukaryota; Viridiplantae; Streptophyta; Magnoliopsida; Fabales; Fabaceae.
GGCCCUCUGCCUCUUCAUUGUCUCAACUUGUUCAUCGGGACGCUAAGGGAGCUAAGGGAGUUGGCGCCUCGACUUUUUCAUCGCGUCACUCUCUCUCUCUUUGUCCUCACACAACUCCAAAAUCCCUAGAAACAAACUAUUCUCUCUCUCUCUUUCUCUUUGUCUCCUCACAUUCCUACGUUUUCUGCACUUCGGGGCCGAGCAACCAUAAGAUCCGCACCGUCACCGGAAUCAACCUCAACGACAAGAUGCCAGCAGUUCAAGAAGAACAUCUUAUGGGUGAACCCUGACUGUGGGAUCAAGACUUGAAUCGUAAUGGACAAAAGAGAUGCUUUUCUUUUCUUUCUCAUUUCUUUUCGUGAAGAAUUUUUCACGCGCUGGAAUAAUUGGUACACCACUCUUUCGGAAAAGAUAAGAAGAAUUGGAAAAGAAUGAAUUGACGAUUGACAAAAAAUCGAGUUCCUGGGGUGAACCAAAGAUGUAUCCUACAACUUCUGGGAAUUUGAAAGGGUUGCCACAAGGUGUAGUUCAUGCUAAUUCGGAUUUGGAGUUAAAACCAUUAUGGUCGACAAGUAGUUCAAGGUCAAAGCUUGUCAGUUCAGGACCUCACUUGAGAAUGAUGUUGAGAAGUGGUCAUGCUUUCACCAGUAAAUGUUUGCAUUUUGUUUUGGGCCGAGUAAAUGGUGGAUGACAAAAGUACCAAUAUUCAUGUCACAACAAAGAUAGCCAAGUUCAUGGAUGGGAAGACGCUAAACUAGCUAAACUACAGCAGUAUAAUGGAUGAACAAUUGAGGAUACUAAAAGUCAUUGUUGUGCAAGGCAAAAAAUUAGUGAUCCGGGAUUCAAGAGCAGUGACCCUUAUGUUGUUGUCAAGCUGGGGAAUCAGACAACAAAGACCAGGGUCAUUCAUUGUUGCUUGAAUCCUGUCUGGAAUGAAGAGUUGAAUUUCACUGUGACAGAACCUUUGGGACUUCUGAAUUUGGUCUGUUAAGUUUGCUGAAUAUACCAGUUCCACCUUGUGAGAGUUGAUUUAUGGCUCUUGUUUCAUAAUCACCUUUAUAUUAGAAAUCCAGUCAUACAUGGAACACUUGAAGUGGUUUAAUUUGGCUGUGUUCCAUUUCCAAGAUCUGACUUUGAUGAACUCCAUAGCCUUUUCCACAUCGAGAGGAUAGUCAUUGAAGAGCAAAUUAUUUCUUGUGGUACAAAUAGUCCAUAGAGCUGCUAACCACACAUUCCACCACAUUAGUUUUUUUUUUUUUUAAUUGCACCAACCCUGCAAACUGCCAAAAGAAUUCCUCCACUGACUGAUUAUAUGCUGUUUGAAUUCCACACCAAUGUGCACAUGCAUACGACAGACUAGACGAGAUCUUGCAAUUAAAAAA